CUCUAUCCUUUUACCCAGCCUUUCCCAGUUCAUUUUCCUUGUGAAAAGAGCCCUGUCCCUAGCACCACGUCAGCAGCAUCAGGAGUGGUGCAUGUGACUAAUCCCCAAACCCUCAGGCAGGGAUCACAGCAGGAUGGUCUGUCCCUUCUCUCCCAUAUGUUCCCUCUCAAUGUUUUCCUCCAGGGUUACAAUGAGGCACUGAGGGCUUGUGUUUCUCACUGGGAACAGUGAGGAAAGUUGUGGAUGGACAGGGUGUCAUUCAAAGAUGCCAAGCACGCAACAGCUCCUGUUGGUUUCAGCACUUUUGAAAAUCAGGUCACUUCAGGAAUGUACCUGUUGGACAAUCAAAGGAGUUGCUCCAUUCCUAUGGACCCC
Long non-coding RNA from Mauremys reevesii (Reeves's turtle), 375 nucleotides. RefSeq lists it as uncharacterized. The transcript is spliced from 3 exons. NCBI's taxonomy places the organism in Eukaryota, Metazoa, Chordata, Testudines, Geoemydidae. The record is from RefSeq and is a predicted model, not a curated record.